This is a non-coding RNA of Dermacentor andersoni, 1638 nucleotides long. NCBI's taxonomy places the organism in Eukaryota, Metazoa, Arthropoda, Arachnida, Ixodida, Ixodidae. The record is from RefSeq and is a predicted model, not a curated record.
CCAAGGAGGAUAUAUAAAAAUUGCUGGAGUGGAGAGAGCGCGCUCCGACUGAAGCCUCCGUCCGCCAUCUUACCAGAGGCAGAAAGCGCGCUCGGCGCCGGCGGCACCGGCUCUCGCUGCUGUUUUCGUGAGUUGGUAUGCAGUGCAAUUUGAUGUGAGGGGCAUGUAAACACCAUCGAUUUGAUUAUGGUUGCCUCUUGCGUUGCCUACGGAUGUGCGAACAGGCUGAAGAAGCGUUGUGGCCUCACGUUUCACCUGUUUCCAAAAGAUCCGGAGCUGCGGAGCCUGUGGGAGUGGGCUGUUCGCCGUGAAAGGUGGCAUGCGAAAGAUGUAGAUCGCCUUUGCUGUGUGCAUUUCGCGCCGGAGUGCUUCGACCGCACCGGACAGACAACACGACUGCGUGCGGGUAGUGUUCCUUCUGUGUUCCCUGCGUUUCCGGAGCAUCUACAGAAGCCCGCGAGUAUGUUAGAACGUCGCGCGAUGUAUUUGUGGCGGUCUCGUUUUCGUUGAGAAGAAGUGACUGUGAUAAGCCGGAUAAAAAUCAACACUGUGUGCCCUGCCAGCUGCAAAAGCGAGAAAUGCGACUGAGUUUCUCGAGCUCAUUAGACCGCGGAUGUCGUUUUCAACUAAUGUCAUUAAAUUUACCAUUGUCACAGCUAAUGAAAGGCAUUACCUUUGAAUGACAUUCUAUGAAAAUUACACCAAAUUUGCCGUCUGGCAGGGUCGCCUCAGCUAAACUGUAACCAUGACAUUGGAUAGAGACCGCUAUUGCGCCUAGAUUUUGCACAGCUUCAAUUUUUUUUUUUCAUUUUCAUAGGAUAAAAAGUACGAAAACUGCUACUCAGAACCGUAGGCUGGAGAUGCGGCUCCAGUCUGCAAAUCUGUUCAGUAAGCGCGCGUCGGUGGUGACGUAAAGAGAUCUAAUUAAUAUGCAAGCUCAGAUGCUAAACAAAAUAAACAGGCUAAUGAUUUGAAAAGAUGCUUAAGCAAAAUUUGAAAAUACCAUACAUCCACCUUUAUGAAGCAGUAAGUUUUGGUAGCAAACGAGGCAUAGCUUUACAACUGCUCUUAUUUUUCUCUGACUUGAGACUCAUCAGAUGUACAUAUGGCGUCUAUUUCAGGUGAAAAGGAAGCGUCCAGGCCGCAAGCAUGAAGACUGGUUCCAGAAACUGGAGGACCACAUCCUUGAUCUUGAUCCACUUGAUAACUAUAUUUAUAUUUUGUGCAAAAAAUCGCUGAAGAAUAUAUAAAAGUGAGAAUACACCACAUGACGAAAGAACGAAACUGUGAACUGAUCAAAAACAAAGUGAGACCACUUUUGUCGAGGGUGAUUAUUUUCAAUCACCAGUAGGGUGUUUGUCAUGGUGUUCUUGACUGUAUAUGAGACUUUCUCCUUAAUAUCUGCUCAUUUGAACUUCCUUCUGCGUAUCAGUUGGCUGCUGGUUGAUGGUAAAUAAACGACUGCAACUAGAACCACACAUUUGCAUUCCUUUCUAAAUGGGAGCAGCUGCAUCAGCAAAGCGAAAAAGCGCGAGCGCAGCUGCAUUACGCUUUUCUCCUUAAUAUUUGUACAGUUACACUGCCUUUUACAUGCCAGUUUUCUGCUAGCUGAUGGAAAAUAAAUGGAUAUAACUAGAA